GAAAUGCGAUAAGUAAUGUGAAUUGCAGAAUUCAGUGAAUCAUCGAAUCUUUGAACGCACAUUGCGCCCGCCAGCACUCUGGCGGGCAUGCCUGUUCGAGCGUCAUUUCAACCAUCAAGCCCCGGGCUUGUGCUGGGGACCUGCGAGCUCUUCGCCCGCAGGCCCCGAAAAUCAGUGGCGGGCUCGCUGUCACCCCGAGCGUAGUAGUAUUAUCUCGCUUAGGGCGUGCUGCGGGUUCCGGCCGUUAAACCCCCCCAUACCCCAAGGUUGACCUCGGAUCAGGUAGGAAUACCCGCUGAACUUAA
Molecule: unclassified non-coding RNA, 305 nt
Filed under: uncultured Sordariales
Lineage: Eukaryota; Fungi; Ascomycota; Sordariomycetes; Sordariales
Description: sequence contains ITS1
Rfam family: 5.8S ribosomal RNA (bases 1-105)
Source: RNAcentral